RNAcentral lists this ribosomal RNA (468 nucleotides) under uncultured bacterium. RNAcentral describes it as "partial 16S ribosomal RNA". It matches the Rfam family "Bacterial small subunit ribosomal RNA", at positions 28 to 523 of the family's 1533-position model. The record is from RNAcentral.
GAUGAACGCUGGCGGCGUGCCUAACACAUGCAAGUCGAGCGAUUUACUUCGGUAAAGAGCGGCGGACGGGUGAGUAACGCGUGGGUAACCUGCCCUGUACACACGGAUAACAUACCGAAAGGUAUGCUAAUACGGGAUAAUAUGCUUUUAUCGCAUGGUAGAAGCAUCAAAGCUUUUGCGGUACAGGAUGGACCCGCGUCUGAUUAGCUAGUUGGUAAGGUAACGGCUUACCAAGGCGACGAUCAGUAGCCGACCUGAGAGGGUGAUCGGCCACAUUGGAACUGAGACACGGUCCAAACUCCUACGGGAGGCAGCAGUGGGGAAUAUUGCACAAUGGGCGAAAGCCUGAUGCAGCAACGCCGCGUGAGCGAUGAAGGCCUUCGGGUCGUAAAGCUCUGUCAUCAAGGAAGAUAAUGACGGUACUUGAGGAGGAAGCCCCGGCUAACUACGUGCCAGCCGCCGCCGUAA